UAUUUUCAUUAUUUUCGAAGUUUUCAUCAUCAUCAACAUCAUCAUCAUCCUCAUCAUCGUCACUCUCAUCAUCGGAAAGACUGUCAGUGUCAAUAGAUCUAGCUCCAUCCAGAGGAAAACGCUUGGACAGCUCAGUGAUGUGAUUCCGACCAAACCCUGAUACAGAAGAACAAUUUUAAUUAACGUUCAGUAUUAUUCUCAUCACAAAAUCAGAAUGAGUCUGAAUGACUUAAUUUAUUUAAAAUGAAUAUAUUUGGUGUUUGUUUUUUUUUUGUAGAAGAACACUUGUCUUUGUAGCAUUUCAAUCCAAAAUUCCAUGAUAACAUUAAAGAAUCGAAGAAUUUAGAAAGAUGUAAUAAUGGUUUUUAACUUUAUAAUAAUAAUCCUGGCAUAUUAAAUAAUAUAAUGUCAUAAAUGACUGUCUGUAAAUUAAAAAAAAUACUGACAGAAGUGCUACAGGUACAUGACAAAAAUAAAUAAUUAUUUUAACGUGUGUGUUAUUAAAUGGAAAUCCAUAAUUAUAACUUAAGACAAACAAAUCAUAAUUAAAUUAUUUGUGUAGAGUAUCAAUUAAAACGUUCAAACUGGCAACUAAUGUGCAGAACAAACAAAAAACAAAGAACACUGUGAUUCAUGGCAACUUUCAACAUAUAACAUUUUGUAACUUGAACAUGAGCUUCACCCUGUAUAGCCUUCCGGUCGUCAUGACUAGGCCAGAUUUUGAAAUUUACUAUCUGUGAUGCUUCUAACAAAUCAUCAUCAUUAGACAAUCUUGCAGAGAUUUCUUCAGAUACUGAGUUUGCUAGAGCAUUUUGAUAGCUAUUUGGUGAAAUCCCUUUCUGGGUAAGUUUGACCCCUUUGUAGGUCUGACUCUCCAUGAUUGUUCUGACAACAUCUUCCUCAUCACUAUUUAUCAGAAGAUAAUUCUUUCAAAUUUUCUUGUUCAAAUUCAAUAAUGUAUUAUUCUUAAAAGAUGUACUUUGCAAUAAUCACUAUCUUUAAAAUCGAUUUUAAUAUAUUAUUUUGUUUUUCUUCUCCUUACCAGUAAACAUAUUUUUGAUAAAAAAAAAUAUAUAUAGAGUUUCAUGAAUAUGUUAUUUAAAAGGAUGUUAAUAAUUAUUAUUUUUUAUAUCAUAUGUGAAUAAUUAUGUUCUUUACCUUUGGCAAACCUCAAGAUCUGAUAAACUCUGGAGAGUUGACUGCUUCAUGUGUUUCACAUCGCCUAGAGUAGUUGUUGGGUCUUGCAGCAGCUUCGACAUACGACUGACUGGCUCUAGAAUGUUCUGAAUGAAAAUUUUAAAAAUCAAAUAUAAAAUACAUUUACAUCAAAGGAAAAUAUAACCAUAUAAUGUAGAAAUAAGGUCUUAAUUUUAACAGAAUGUGAAUUAAGCUAAUUUAUUUAUCCUUUGUUUACUUUUCAAUAAUUGCAUUUCACUGAACUGAUACAAUCAUACAAACAGUGAAACCUCCUUAUAGUAACUUAAAUUAAAGAAUGGUUACCUUCAGUACAACCAGGAAAACCAUAAUGGUCAUUGAUGUUGCCAACUUGUGCAGACCUUCAGCCUUGCUGUUGCUGUUGGAGGCAUGUCCAAGAUGUGUUGUGAUAGGGACGUAGGCCCUGAGAAAUGUGUUGAUGGCUUUCAUCAUAUGAGAAACCCAUCUUGUUCCGCCUGCUCUGGUUGGCAUCAAUGGCACUGAUUUCGGAUUAAGAGCUUUAAAGGUUCUAGCUAGUUCUUUUUGUUGCUUGGAACUGCGUUUAUACCAGUAGAACACACCAACUAAUAAAGUCAUUGCUUUGUCAUAUGUCUUGUUUGUCUUAAACACAUCUUUUAUGGCUAAUUCUAGCCGAUGGGCAAGGCAGUGAGUUAUUACCAAGCCAGGCUUUUCCUUCAGCAGCAGAGCUCCAACUCCCUUGUGGACACCUAACAUAUUGGAAGCUCCGUCACAUGUCAGACCUACAAGUUUAUCACGUGCUCCUGGCAAGUAGCUGUCCAAACUUUCUACAAUUGUGUCAUAAAUGUCACAAGAGGCAGUUGUCACGGGGGAGGCAAAGCAAAUAAACCUUUGAUAUACUU
Molecule: long non-coding RNA, 2075 nt
Organism: Dreissena polymorpha
Lineage: Eukaryota; Metazoa; Mollusca; Bivalvia; Myida; Dreissenidae
Exons: 2
Source: RefSeq, a predicted model, not a curated record